ACAAAUAAAAUAAUUAGAUUGAUUGUUGAUUAAGUCAAACGAUUUGGGUCUUUAAACCGAAUGACACCACCCACCAUUUUUGGCAAAUUCCAUAUCCCUCAAAAUGGAAUCCGGGAGAUUUCAAAGAAAGCUCCUAGUGGGUUACGGGAGGCUCACUAUUACCAAGCCCACCUCACGAUGAUACGAUGUCGGCUAGCAACAAUAAUAAUGAGAGGGUACAAGUACCCAUUCACAACAACCUCUUGUGAUUACCCAUCUUUUUGGCCUCUAGAGAAAAAUACCUCACGAUGAUACGAUGUUGGCACCUUUUCUCUUAGUUAAGUUUUGUCCCACUAUGCCGGUUUAGGAAGGGGUUCAAGCAUGACCUCACGAUGAUACGAUGUCGACCACACUCGUUGCCUACCUUAACCUCAUCAAAUGUUUUAAAUAAACUCCUCCUGAAUAUAAGCAUGCACUUUGUCACUUCCCCAUGAUAGGGUGAAGGCGGUGUACAAGUCAUAAACGCUUGGAGCCUACCACGGUGGAAGGCCAUGAAAAAGUGUUCUAAGCACUCUUACGCUUACAACUUAAUAUUGUUUGGUUGAGGGAUUUUAAGGUCUCAUCAAUUUUAUUUAUUUAAUCAUAUUCAAAUAAAUUGUCCUAUUAUAACUAUUAGUCCAAAGUUAAUGAAAUUAGUAGCAUAUGAUAUCCCCACUAUUCGUUUUCAUAAAACAAAUCAAAAUCAAAACAUCUUUCAUAAUAUUGGAGAUAUAUAUAACUACUAAUUGAAUUCAUUAUAGUUUAGUAGCGUAUGAUACUUCCACUAUUUGUUUUAAGAAAAACAAAUCAAUAUCAAAAACGAAUUUUUCAAAUAUUGGAAGUAACUACUACUACUACGGUUUUUGCAUUCCUUUGAAAUUGAACUUUAUAGUUAUCUUAGGCUCUUGGAUAACCAUGGACUUAUUAGGUUAUUGCAACAACGAGCCAACAUUGUUGAAUAUAAACUCGGGGAGGUUAUGUCAAUUUAAUUACGUGCUUAUCAAUCCAAUUAAAACCAUUUUCAUUGAGCCAUUAGAAAUGAAAGACAAUCAUCCAUUGCUAAUUUGGGCAUUGGACCCUUUUAAUCUUUAAUCUCAUGUCAAAACCCUCUUUUAAUUAUGUCUCCUUACCAAUAGUUAAAGAAACUCUAGUCUAGCACUAGAGGGAAUCAACUAACGAAUAGAGAUUAAGAAGUAAUAAGAAUUACAAACCGAUUUGUACAAAUUCCUAUAAAUUACAUGUACUAAAAGGGGAGAGAUAGAUUAACGUCAAACGUGACAAGGUCCAAUUAAACAGUAAUUAAAACACAUUCCCAAGGUUCAAACAAUUUGAUUUUAGCGCCUUAUCAUAUAGCUCAAUUAUCGUUUAAGGCAUAAGUCCAAAAUCAUCCAUUUCAUAACUACUUAAACACAUUUAAAUAAUCAUAAAGAAAUGCAACAUAGACAUUUAGAUUUAGUGCAUAUGGGCAUAAUAUAAUUAUGAGUUUAAACAACUAACAAAAUUAAAAUCAAAUAUUUUAACUUUCUAGUUAGUAAGGGCCUAAAUGUAAAUAUGAAAAGUUAGGGGUAAAAAUGUAAAUACUCAAAAGUAUAAAAUAUCAACUUUUCAAAGAUUACAAAAGACCCCUCAAGUGGAUAAAUCCACUAGGGUGGCCGGCCAUUAAAGGGGAAGGGGAAGUCUCAUCCACAUGCACAAAUUUAAUGCAAAGUAAAAGAAAUCACAAUUUUGCUUGUCACUUGGUUUGGCAUUGAAUGGCUUUAAUGAAAAAAUUUGAUGGAAAUCUCCUAGACAAGUCUAGGGUUUUAAUAAGUUUUAAUAUAGUUAUGGAUGGUAAGAACAUCACCCAAAACCAUAAAACCAUGCAUGAAAACCAAAUAAAACCAUUUUCACCCAAAACCCAAUUAUGAACACCAAGAACAAAACCAUGAAUUUUGUUCAUGACUUAUUCUUCAUUCAUGCAUACAAAACAACUUUUACAUGCAUAUCUUUUACAACUCUUGAUUUAUAUUUUUCAACCAUUGAAAAACAAAAGAUAAACAUACUUUCAAAUGAAGAAAUAAUAUGUCAUACUAGUCUUAAACUCAUUUUAUGCAUACAAAACACUUUUGCAAACAUAUCUUUCUCAACUUUUGACUAACAUUUUUCAACUAUUGAAAAACAAAAGAUAAACAUACUUUGAAUGAAACAAUAAUUAUGUCAUGCAUAAUAUUAAUACCCAUAUGCAUAAAAUCCAAAAGGACACAUUAUACAUAAACCAUUGGCUCUGAUACCACUUGAAGGGAAAAUUAUGAGAUUCUAGAAUGGGAUUUCAAAUAGACUAUCAUGCAUAUACAAAUCAUAUUGAAUAUACGAAAGCAGCGGAAGCAUUUAUAACAUAUUAUCAAAGCUAUAGUCAUGCAAAUCCCCUUCAAGGUUCAUAGGUCUAUAUAUAAUGCAUCAAAGCAUUUUAAAGAACCAAGAACAAAGUGAAGGUUAGUCUUAUACCUCUUGAUCUAGACUUGAGACCAAGGAUGGACCACCUCCAGCCCUUUGCUCCUUGAAAUCCUUGAGCCUAGCUUCCCUCCUUGCCUCCUCCACUUUGAUAGAAUGAGUGCU
Molecule: long non-coding RNA, 2613 nt
Filed under: Malus domestica (apple)
Lineage: Eukaryota; Viridiplantae; Streptophyta; Magnoliopsida; Rosales; Rosaceae
Description: long non-coding RNA (MDOM_LNC011278)
Source: RNAcentral